Molecule: ribosomal RNA, 253 nt
Filed under: uncultured bacterium
Lineage: Bacteria
Description: partial 16S ribosomal RNA
Rfam family: Bacterial small subunit ribosomal RNA
Source: RNAcentral
UACGUAGGGUGCGAGCGUUAAUCGGAAUUACUGGGCGUAAAGCGUGCGCAGGCGGCGCGUUAAGACAGGUGUGAAAGCCCCGAGCUUAACUUGGGAAUUGCGCUUGUGACUGGCGAGCUGGAGUGUGGCAGAGGGAGGUGGAAUUCCACGUGUAGCAGUGAAAUGCGUAGAGAUGUGGAGGAACACCGAUGGCGAAGGCAGCCUGCUGGGCCAGCACUGACGCUCAUGCACGAAAGCGUGGGGAGCAAACAGG